AUACUUACCUGGCAGGGGAGAUACCAUGAUCACAAAGGUGGUUUUCCCAGGGCGAGGCUUAUCCGUUGCACUCCAGACGUGUUGACCCCUGCGAUUUCCCCAAAUGCAGGAAUCUUAACUGCAUAAUUUGUUUUAGUGGGGGACUGCGUUCACGCUCUCCCCUG
RNAcentral lists this small nuclear RNA (164 nucleotides) under Neotoma lepida (desert woodrat). RNAcentral's name for it is "U1 spliceosomal RNA". It matches the Rfam family "U1 spliceosomal RNA". Rfam says of the family: U1 is a small nuclear RNA (snRNA) component of the spliceosome (involved in pre-mRNA splicing). Its 5' end forms complementary base pairs with the 5' splice junction, thus defining the 5' donor site of an intron. The record is from Rfam by way of RNAcentral. Lineage: Eukaryota; Metazoa; Chordata; Mammalia; Rodentia; Cricetidae.